UAUCGUGGGAUGUAGUUUGUUUGC
This 24-nucleotide non-coding RNA is filed under the name Arabidopsis thaliana (thale cress). Lineage: Eukaryota; Viridiplantae; Streptophyta; Magnoliopsida; Brassicales; Brassicaceae. The record is from RNAcentral.